RNAcentral lists this long non-coding RNA (283 nucleotides) under Elaeis guineensis (African oil palm). RNAcentral describes it as "long non-coding RNA (EGUI_LNC077359)". Lineage: Eukaryota; Viridiplantae; Streptophyta; Magnoliopsida; Arecales; Arecaceae. The record is from RNAcentral.
UCAAAUAUCAAUAGAGUGAUUGUACCUUCUCGAUGCAACCGAACUACUGUAACCAGCCGAGAACGAUCAAUGCUAGGAAGGCAACCAUAUCUUUACAAUGAUGGAAGACCUCUAGACUUAAUCUUUAAUGAGGAGAUUUGGGUUUAGGUCUCUUCUAAAUCAACAGAUCUGACAUCCAACUGAUUAUAUUCAGGUCAGCACAUUAACAUGUCCAACCAGCCUAAUCGGCAUGGGUGAACUCAAGUCAACAAGUAGCCUAACACGAAACUGAAUCUCCCAAGAU